AAUUUCUUCCUUGCCUUCUAGUCUAGCCUAGUCCUCUCUCUUUCUUUCUUCCCAUGUAGACGCACGCGGUCGGCCAGUAACCGAACGCCAACGCCCAACGCCGGCAGUGGUGUCAGACGGACUCUGCUGCAGUAGGCCUAAUGCAUGUAAAAGGAACUACAGGUCGACCACGCCUUCUUGAUGCUUUGAGUUCACACUUUAUGCACCAUGACCAUGUAUCACCAUGACACCAACAAGAAGCAAAAUGAAGCGGAAUCUGCAGGCUGCCGGUAUCACUGUCACUACCUUGCGGCAUACAGUCUGACGACGAUAUCGAUAUCAGCACCAUGCGGUCUGCCGGUAUCAGCACCAUGCGGUCUGCCGGUAUCAGCACCAUGCGGUCUGCCGGUAUCAGCACCACGAUGAGCUUUCAGUAGAUCUAGAAUCUAGAUGAUCUAUGGCCUUCUAAUCAGGUAAAUGAUGUCAUUUGCACCAGUCAGGCGCAGGUUGAUCAUUCAAUCUUGAGGGAUGUGUCAAAUUCCUACUUCAGUGACGUGACUUCUGAAUACUGGGUGGUGUAAAGGAAAGAAAAGUCCACGGCAGUAUGAUAUCAACAUCUGGUCUCAUACAGGAUACUUGGCGUUUGCCAUUGACAGGUAGGAACUGACUUUGGCUCCUGGUGUCUUCGUGGAAUUUAGACUGAAUAUUGGUCCAGCUCAAUGACGCCAGGAACUAUGGACCUUUGUGAUGACAGCAGUCUUUGUCACUCCAAUUCCAAUACUCCCAUGAUGACAUUGUGCAUUCAUUUUUUAUUUAUUUUUUAAAAUCAGAAAAUUUGAAUCUGAUGAAAAUAAAAAUUGGGUGCGUUAACUUAAA
Molecule: long non-coding RNA, 855 nt
Organism: Aplysia californica (California sea hare)
Lineage: Eukaryota; Metazoa; Mollusca; Gastropoda; Aplysiida; Aplysiidae
Exons: 6
Source: RefSeq, a predicted model, not a curated record